GACGAACGCUAGCGGCGUGCUUAACACAUGCAAGUCGAACGGAAAGGCCCUGCUUUUGUGGGGUGCUCGAGUGGCGAACGGGUGAGUAACACGUGAGUAACCUGCCCUUGACUUUGGGAUAACUUCAGGAAACUGGGGCUAAUACCGGAUAGGAGCUCCUGCUGCAUGGUGGGGGUUGGAAAGUUUCGGCGGUGGGGGAUGGACUCGCGGCUUAUCAGCUUGUUGGUGGGGUAGUGGCUUACCAAGGCUUUGACGGGUAGCCGGCCUGAGAGGGUGACCGGCCACAUUGGGACUGAGAUACGGCCCAGACUCCUACGGGAGGCAGCAGUGGGGAAUAUUGCACAAUGGGCGGAAGCCUGAUGCAGCAACGCCGCGUGCGGGAUGACGGCCUUCGGGUUGUAAACCGCUUUCGCCUGUGACGAAGCGUGAGUGACGGUAAUGGGUAAAGAAGCACCGGCUAACUACGUG
This 468-nucleotide ribosomal RNA is filed under the name uncultured bacterium. RNAcentral describes it as "partial 16S ribosomal RNA". It matches the Rfam family "Bacterial small subunit ribosomal RNA", at positions 28 to 507 of the family's 1533-position model. The record is from RNAcentral.